CCAAUAGCGUAUAUUAAAGUUGUUGCAGUUAAAAAGCUCGUAGUUGAAUUUCGGGGUCAGUAAGUUGGUCGUGCCACUGGUAUGUACUGGCUUUACUGAUUCCUCCUUCUUGUAGAACCGUAAUGCCAUUAAGUUGGUGUUGCGGGGAAACAGGACUGUUACUUUGAAAAAAUUAGAGUGUUUAAAGCAGGCUAACGCUUGAAUACAUUAGCAUGGAAUAAUGAAAUAGGGCGUUCGAUCCUAUUUUGUUGGUUUCUAGGAUUGACGUAAUGAUUAAUAGGGAUAGUUGGGGGCAUUAGUAUUCAAUUGUCAGAGGUGAAAUUCUUGGAUUUAUUGAAGACUGACUACUGCGAAAGCAUUUGCCAAGGAUGUUUUCAUUAAUCAAGAACGAAAGUUAGGGGAUCGAAGACGAUCAGAUACCGUCGUAGUCUUAACCAUAAACUAUGCCGACUAGGGAUCGGAUGAUGUUAAUUUUUUAAUGACUCAUUCGGCGCCUUACG
RNAcentral lists this ribosomal RNA (500 nucleotides) under uncultured Glomeromycotina. RNAcentral's name for it is "partial small subunit ribosomal RNA". It matches the Rfam family "Eukaryotic small subunit ribosomal RNA", at positions 591 to 1092 of the family's 1831-position model. The record is from RNAcentral. Lineage: Eukaryota; Fungi; Glomeromycota.